Molecule: RNA transcript, 4059 nt
Organism: Eriocheir sinensis (Chinese mitten crab)
Lineage: Eukaryota; Metazoa; Arthropoda; Malacostraca; Decapoda; Varunidae
Gene name: synergin gamma-like
Exons: 15
Source: RefSeq, a predicted model, not a curated record
AAGGCGGAACUUCCGACCAUCACCUGUCCGUCACCUGUGUGUUGUGUUGUUGUUGCCGCGUUGACCUGACCAUUAUGUUGCACCCGGCCCCCUGAAGCUCUGAGGCACGGGAGGACGGGUAGCUGAGGUCAGGGGUCAGGGCGGGGCAGCACCUGGGUCAUCCUCACGCCGCCGAGGUCACCAUGGCCAGCAACGGGCGGCGGCCACACAGGCCGGACAUGAUGCCAGCGGGAGGGGCAGGGCAGGGGGGCUGGGUGCCAGGGGUCAGCAUGCCUCCCUUGGGCUAUGGUUUGGUGGCCCAGCAGCCCCACAUGGCCCCCCAGCAGCCCCACAUGGCCUCCCCACAACCCCUCAUUGCUCCCCAGCAGCAGGCAUGGCAGCAGCAGCAGCAGCAGCACUUCUUGGCCCAGCAGGCUGGACUUGCAGGGAUGAUGGGCAUAGCAACACUAACACAGCAGCAGCAACAACAACAUCAACAACAGCAGCAGAACUACCCACCACAGCACGUGCAGCAGCAGUGGAUGGAGGCACAGCGGAAGGCAGCAGAGGACCAGCGGAAACUGUACGAGCAGAUGAUGAAGCAGAGGCAGUUUGACGAGCAGAAGAUGAGGCUCAAGGCUUUCAACGCAUCAAAAAAGACUGGCGUGAGUGCCGACACCAUGAUAGAGAGCAUCCUGGGGGGCAAGGAGCACACCAAGCCAAGGUCGCCUCAGCCUCUUAAAAAGAGUGGCGGGGGUGUUGAGGAUCAGGGUACGCAGGGCAACCACCACCACCACAACCAGGCCCCUGCAGCAGCCCCCACGUCCCAGGCCCAGACCCACCGCCUGGGCACCGCUGUGGACUGGACCAAGUUGGAGAAUGUCAACACCCUCUUUGCGUCUCCCAAGAAAGCCAUCCCCGCAGCAACCACCACCACCACAGGCACCACCGAACACCCAAACACCACCACACAGCCACCCCAUGACACCACCACCACCAACAACCUCACCAGCCCCAGACCCCAAGCCGCACCUCACAGCAUGGGGGACGUUGCAGGGAAACCAGUGAGCGCGAGGAAGGAAGGGAAGAGUCCGAUUCUGGUCCCACAGUGGAUGAAGGACUCAGCUACAAUCCCUGAGGUCUACAAGAGGGCAGUGGGGCUGGUGGGGGCUGCGGAGGGCUGGGUGGACACGAGCAGGGCCUACAUGUUGCUGAUGAAGACUGGACUCCCCCCGCCCUUCCUAGGAGUGCUCUGGGAGAUGGUUAACUGUACUACGCCUGGACAGCUGACACAGACCGAGUUCUCCGUUCUCUUGGCUCUGGUGGCAGUGGUUCAGUCUGGUCAGCCCAUCACCGGUCCAGAGGUGUUGAAUGCCACCCAGGAGCCAGUCAUGCCACUCAUCGACCACCCGGCACUGGCACCACUCGUCCAGGACUACCUCCAGGCUAGGCAACAGCAGGCUGGUGGUGGUGGUGGUGGAGGACAACCACAGACAACCACUAACAACAACAGUGCUAAUGGUGACGAUGAUGAGUUUGACGACUUUGUGAGUGUGACCGUACCACCCAGCGCAUUCCCACACAUCACAUCCUUCCCCACCACAUCCCAGGCUACCUCCUCAUCAUUCCCUGUCCCUGCCUUCCCCGCACAUCCCCAGACAGCCCCAGGUCCCAAGCCGCCCCAGACUCAACCAGGGGACAAAAACAAGGCUAUGAACCUCCCGAAACUUGGGUUCUCGCCGGAGCCAUCGCCGACGACAAGCUUCGACGAUGACUUUGAUGACUUCCAGAGCGCUGCGUUACCGUGCAUACCCCAGGCCGCCGGUGGUGCUAUGGGGCAGCAACCGAAGGGGGGUCAAGGCAUACCCACCACCACUAUCACCACCACCCCUACCAUGUCAACCGAACAGCCCCCUCCAGUAUCUGUCCUUCAACCGGAGAAGUCAGGAAAGGCGGCUGAUGAGGACAAGUAUGCUGUGUUUAGGGAAAUCGCCGGGACGAACGCACAGCCGGUGGAUGAGACCGAGAACCCGGAUGACAGUUUUGGUGAAUUCUGCAGCAGCGAAGUGGCGAGUCUCAGCCUAGCACAGAACGCGUCAUCCUCCUCAUCCGCAUCCAUCUCUGCCCCCCCUGGCCUCCUGCAGUGCCAGAGUGCCUCGGGGACCAGCAACACCUCACCCAUCAGCUUUGAGGUCUACAGCACCCCGCCGGAAGCACUCCCGGAUGCACAGACGGAUGCGUUCGAGGCGGACUUCAGCGCUGCGUUUGCCUCCACCGCCGCAUCCACCUCCACACGACAGCCGGAUAACUACGCCGACAUCCACGAGGCCAUGAAGCGGGCCGAGGCGGAGCAGAAGCGGAAGGAGGAGACCAAGUGGAGCGAUCCGUUUGGGGAGUUUGAGGAAGCUCCGCCACCACUUCCUCCACCCUCUGCUACUUCUGCUGCUCCUACUGCUCCUCCUACUGCUUCGUUUGGGGGGGGGUCAGGUCUGCAGGGUGCCAUGCCGUCCCUGUCCAGUGCCGCGGGUCUUGCAGUGCCAUGGGGCCCCGCCGGAGUGGAGGAGGACAAUGACGAGGACUUUGGUGACUUCAUGGGCCACAGCGGCAUAGGGGCGGGCAGCAGCAUCCACACCCUGCCCCCACCCCUGGAGAACCUGGGGGAGACGCAAUCAGUGGCCAGCCUGGAGUUGCCAGGGCUGGAGAUGACUGUUGGAGUGGAGGGUUCGGAGACACAAGGAGGCACGGACCUGUUCGCACAGCCUAGAACUGACCUUGGCACUGUGGAAGACCAGCUGAGCGGCCUGCACCUAGACACAACAACAGGAGGAGUGCCAGGGUCAGGAAGCAUGAGUUCCGGCCCCAGUGCCACCCAGCACCACCAUCACCAGGGAGGCACAGCAGCCGGCAGCGUGAUGGACUCGUACUGUGGUGGAGGCGGCCUAGUGGAUAAGUACAGCAUCAUCAGGGAGGAGGCAAGCAGGGACACACAGCCCCCAGGAGAGGCGCACACUGGCUCCUGGGAGAGGUGUUUGGAGGGCAUCAUCAAGGUGCUGCAGGAGACACACACCGUCCUCACCAGCCUCAACACCACCACCACCACCACUACUGCCACCACCACCACCACCACCACUGCCGCCACCACCACCACCAGUUUAAAAAGCCAGGUUCUUGCCACCAGCCAAAUGCAGGAUUACCUCACUAACGUGUAUGAGGUGUGGCUGGUAUGUGGCCGCAUCAGAGCCUCCAGCCGCCGCGUCACCACCAGCGUACAGGUGGACACCCUCCUCUCACAGGCCCAGGCACUCUGGCGGGACAUUCUGGCGGCCGCGGGGGCAGACAGCGUCAUUGCCAAGCCGCCAGUGGACAGCAAUGCCAGUAACCACGAGGAAGGGGAGAACCAGAUGGCCGAGGGGGAGGUCUGCGGGGUAUGCCUGACAGGAGGGGGCAACAGACUCACCUACGGAGGUCACUCAUACCACCCACCCUGUGCUAACCUCUGGCUGAACUGUGUCGACCUGCUCCUCCCCUCCCUCACCCCUGUCACCCUGCUGUAAUGACCUCUGACCUCAAGAAUGACUAGUUGGGGGAUGGGAGCAUGGGCAUGAUGUGUGUGUGUGCCGUCCUGCCCUGCCCUGCCUUGCCUUGCCCUCACCACACAUGAUAGUUUAGCCUCAGGAGCUGCAGGUUUCUUCCCUCACAGCCUGGCAGCUUCUCAAAGGCCUUGGUUUGAGUCCUGGCCCAGGCAGUCGGCGUGCAGCCCACCCAGCUGUUCAUCUUCCCUUUUGGGCUGGUGGAUAAAUGGGUACCUCAGUAAACCUGGGGAACGUAAACUGUGGUAACCCGGGUGUCCUGGGGUGACAGGUUCUUCCCACCACAGGCUCAAGGGCCAGUGUGAUGGAGAUGAGCACCGAGGCCACGCACAGCUAUAGCGUAUGCCCCAACUUUACUUUAAACACCCUGCUAGACACGUGGGGCGUUGUGGCUGGUCGUGAGGAAGGACCCUUGCAAGACCUAUUUCACAGGGAGAUCCUUCACCCUCAGACCUUGCAGUGUUGAUUGGAGAGAGGAAGUGAUGAGAGA